This 257-nucleotide ribosomal RNA is filed under the name uncultured bacterium. RNAcentral's name for it is "partial 16S ribosomal RNA". It matches the Rfam family "Bacterial small subunit ribosomal RNA", at positions 337 to 611 of the family's 1533-position model. The record is from RNAcentral.
ACCUACGGGACGCAGCAGUGGGGAAUAUUGGACAAUGGGGGGAAACCUGAUGCAGCGACGCCGCGUGAGUGAAGAAGUAUUUCGGUAUGUAAAGCUCUAUCAGCAGGGAAGAAAAUGACGGUACCUGACUAAGAAGCCCCGGCUAACUACGUGCCAGCAGCCGCGGUAAUACGUAGGGGGCAAGCGUUAUCCGGAUUUACUGGGUGUAAAGGGAGCGUAGACGGCAGAGCAAGUCUGAAGUGAAAGCCCGCGGCCCA